UACGUAGGGCGCAAGCGUUGUCCGGAAUUAUUGGGCGUAAAGAGCUCGUAGGCGGUCUGUUACGUCCGCUGUGAAAACCCAGGGCUUAACCCUGGGCUUGCAGUGGAUACGGGCAGACUAGAGGCAGGUAGGGGAGAAUGGAAUUCCCGGUGUAGCGGUGAAAUGCGCAGAUAUCAGGAGGAACACCCGUAGCGAAGGCGGCACUCUGGGCCGAUACUGACACUGAGGAGCGAAAGCGUGGGGAGCGAACAGG
This 253-nucleotide ribosomal RNA is filed under the name uncultured bacterium. RNAcentral describes it as "partial 16S ribosomal RNA". It matches the Rfam family "Bacterial small subunit ribosomal RNA", at positions 524 to 776 of the family's 1533-position model. The record is from RNAcentral.